Molecule: ribosomal RNA, 541 nt
Filed under: Trichoderma harzianum
Lineage: Eukaryota; Fungi; Ascomycota; Sordariomycetes; Hypocreales; Hypocreaceae
Description: eukaryotic LSU rRNA
Rfam family: 5.8S ribosomal RNA (bases 204-357)
Source: RNAcentral
UUACCGAGUUUACAACUCCCAAACCCAAUGUGAACGUUACCAAACUGUUGCCUCGGCGGGAUCUCUGCCCCGGGUGCGUCGCAGCCCCGGACCAAGGCGCCCGCCGGAGGACCAACCAAAACUCUUUUUGUAUACCCCCUCGCGGGUUUUUUAUAAUCUGAGCCUUCUCGGCGCCUCUCGUAGGCGUUUCGAAAAUGAAUCAAAACUUUCAACAACGGAUCUCUUGGUUCUGGCAUCGAUGAAGAACGCAGCGAAAUGCGAUAAGUAAUGUGAAUUGCAGAAUUCAGUGAAUCAUCGAAUCUUUGAACGCACAUUGCGCCCGCCAGUAUUCUGGCGGGCAUGCCUGUCCGAGCGUCAUUUCAACCCUCGAACCCCUCCGGGGGGUCGGCGUUGGGGAUCGGCCCUCCCUUAGCGGGUGGCCGUCUCCGAAAUACAGUGGCGGUCUCGCCGCAGCCUCUCCUGCGCAGUAGUUUGCACACUCGCAUCGGGAGCGCGGCGCGUCCACAGCCGUUAAACACCCAACUUCUGAAAUGUUGACCUC